Molecule: ribosomal RNA, 497 nt
Filed under: uncultured bacterium
Lineage: Bacteria
Description: partial 16S ribosomal RNA
Rfam family: Bacterial small subunit ribosomal RNA
Source: RNAcentral
GAUGAACGCUGGCGGCGUGCCUAAUACAUGCAAGUCGAGCGAACAGACGAGGAGCUUGCUCCUUUGACGUUAGCGGCGGACGGGUGAGUAACACGUAGGUAACCUACCUAUAAGACUGGGAUAACUUCGGGAAACCGGAGCUAAUACCGGAUAAUAUUCCGAACCACAUGGUUCGAUAGUGAAAGAUGGCUUUGCUAUCACUUAUAGAUGGACCUGCGCCGUAUUAGCUAGUUGGUAAGGUAACGGCUUACCAAGGCAACGAUACGUAGCCGACUUGAGAGGAUGAUCGGCCGCACUGGAACAGAUACACGGUCCAGACUCCUACGGGAGGCAGCAGUAGCAAAUCUUCCGGAAUGAGCGAAAGCCUGGCGGAGCAACGCCGCGUGAGUGAUGAAGGUCUUCGGAUCGUAAAACUCAGUUAUUGGGGAAGAGCAGACGUGUAAGUAACUAUGCACGUCUUGACGGUACCUAAUCAGAAAGCCACGGCUAACUACGUG